This 390-nucleotide long non-coding RNA is filed under the name Mus caroli (Ryukyu mouse). RNAcentral's name for it is "lncRNA (MGP_CAROLIEiJ_G0006710.1)". The record is from RNAcentral. Lineage: Eukaryota; Metazoa; Chordata; Mammalia; Rodentia; Muridae.
AGUCUAAUCAGACAGUCCUACCCACUACUCCACUACACCACUACAGUCCAGUCCCCUGCGGGGGAGGGGUGGUGGGGCCCAGGGAUCUUUCAGCAUUUGCUAUGUGGCAGCUGUUACUUUGUUUUCUUCUCUUGGCUUGAAAGGCUGGGAACUCAGAGCCAACUCAGAACAGCAACAACAACAAUACCGAGUUUCCACCUUGUCCCUGUGGACCCAGCACCUGGCCAGUGCUCAAGAGCGCCCUAGCACCAAUGGUUUCAUCACCCUUUAAAAGAACUUCUGGCCGGAUACCAUCUAAAACUGUGGAUUUCUCAUGGAAAGUCUCAGCGAUGACUUUCGUCCCUUGAUCCACUUGAAGUCCUGUCUCUGAGGGGCACAGAAGCCAACCAG